GUAAAUGGUGUGUUUGGCAGUUUAGGGAAAGCAUUAGGUCUGCCAUGUGUAAAUGGUGUGCGAGGUAGCUAAGGAUACCAUUAGGUCUGCCAUGUGUAAAUGGUGUGCGAGGUAGCUAAGGAUACCUUUAGGUCUGCCAUGUGUAAAUGGUGUGUAGAAGCUAAGGAUACCAUUAGUUCUGCCAUGCAUGUAAAAUGGUGUGUGUCAGUUUAGGAUAGCAGUAGGUCCAUCACAUCUAUCUAGUUUGCUUAAACAUAUCCGUGUUUAUAUUAUAAAGAAAUAUUUUAUUCCAAAUUAAAUGAUAGGUCUGGGUACAUCUAAAUGAAGGAGCACUCAAAUGCUGUCACAAAAACCAACCUCAUUUACAAUUACCACUGUUUACAUGUAUAGCCUUAUAUUACAUAUCUCACAGAGUAAAUUUCUGAUUUGUACAAUCUACUGCUUUAUCUUAUAAAUUAGAAUAAUUUAAAGUUGUCUUAGCAUUUUAUGAAAUAAAUACUUUGGUAUUGUUAUGAAAACUAGGCAUGGUGAUUGUAAGUAAACUCCGACACUUGGUUUGUGGAAACAAGUUUGCCAAUAUUUACAUAUAGAUACACAGUGAAUCAAGUCACGUUCUACUUUAAAGUGAUUGAGAAAGUAAACAGAUUUCUUCACACAUAGGUUAUUUAUUAAAAAACAGUGGCAAUUGUAAGUAUUGUUGUCGACAUCUCUCAUAGAAUUACCAGUAUAAUUUGUAUUGACAAUCCAAUAUCACUGUAUAACAGUGAAACAUUCAUCAGUAAAUUUCUAUCUUGAGGUUUGUUUCAAACACCAUUUUGUUGAUGAAAUUUCCCCCCAUCAUCAGCCAUAUUAUGUGAGAUUUAAGUGUAAACAGUGAUGUUUCCAGAGUAAUGACUAUACAGUUGUAUUUUAAUUCUGUGAAUUACAGAGCACACUUUUCAGGUAGCUUUUAUAAUUGGUAUGCUACCUAUACAUGUAUUAAUGUGUCGCUAUAUGUUAUACUUAUUGAAAAUAAACAGUUGUUAAUCUUCUA
Molecule: long non-coding RNA, 1033 nt
Organism: Pecten maximus
Lineage: Eukaryota; Metazoa; Mollusca; Bivalvia; Pectinida; Pectinidae
Exons: 2
Source: RefSeq, a predicted model, not a curated record